GCCUGGGUGGCUCAGUCAGUUGAGCGCCCGACUUCAGGUCAGGUCACUAUCUCACAGUUCGUGAGGUCACUAUCUCACAGUUCGUGGGUUCGAGCCCCACGUCGGGCU
RNAcentral lists this transfer RNA (108 nucleotides) under Felis catus (domestic cat). It matches the Rfam family "tRNA". From Rfam's summary of the family: Transfer RNA (tRNA) molecules are approximately 80 nucleotides in length. Their secondary structure includes four short double-helical elements and three loops (D, anti-codon, and T loops). Lineage: Eukaryota; Metazoa; Chordata; Mammalia; Carnivora; Felidae. The record is from Rfam by way of RNAcentral.